UAAACAAUAAAUAUUUUAUUUAACAAAGGAAGUUAUGACACGAGCGGGUAAAACAAAGGAUACUUCAGAUUAUAAUGUUAUUUCACUUCAGUGCUUUCUCAGUUGUUGCAUAGCUGUUACCGCUUAAUACUUUGGUUCUUAAACAAGGUGGUAUUUUCUGUCAGUUACACACCGCAUAGACAACCCUACUCCUGAGGUACUCAAAGUAACAGACUCAAGGUUUCACUGGUUUGGAAGUCUUUUUCUAGAAGAAUCUCUCCCCUCCUGGCUGGAAUGAGACCUAAGGAGACUGUCUCUUUACAGCUUCUACUUCUCCUGUCUCAGCCUCAGCCUCCCAGUUAAUUCCUGGCCUAAUCACUCUGACAGGACACCACACACUGUCCUUCACACUAAGCUCAGGGACUCCUUUCUCUAGCUUGUGAAGUUUUUGUAAAUAAAGUUAUUUUUUAUCAGAUUUAAUACUACCCCUUUCUUUUGUUCUGCAACCACACAAGAAAGAGGGGGGGGGGACACUUUAAAAGAAAUAAUAAGGGAAGAAGUCUGAUGGGAGGGAAGAACAGGUGGCUUCAGGAGGUAGAAUCAUAGAAUCAUAGAGUUGGAAGAGACCACAAGGGCCAUCGAGUCCAACCCCCUGCCAAGCAGGAAACACCAUCAGAGCACUCCUGACAUAUGGUUGUCAAGCCUCUGCUUAAAGACCUCCAAAGAAGGAGACUCCACCACACUCCUUGGCAGCAAAUUCCACUGUCGAACAGCUCUUACUGUCAGGAAGUUCUUCCUAAUGUUUAGGUGGAAUCUUCUUUCUUGUAGUUUGGAUCCAUUGCUCCGUGUCCGCUUCUCUGGAGCAGCAGAAAACAACCUUUCUCCCUCUAUGUGACAUCCUUUUCUAUAUUUGAACAUGGCUAUCAUAUCACCCCUUAACCUCCUCUUCUCCAGGCUAAACAUGCCCAGCUCCCUUAGCCGUUCCUCAUAAGGCAUCGUUUCCAGGCCUUUCACCAUUUUGGUUGCCCUCCUCUGGACACGUUCCAGUUUGUCAGUGUCCUGUGCCCAGAACUGGACACAGUACUCCAGGUGAGGUCUGACCAGAGCAGAAUACAGUGGCACUAUUACUUCCCUUGGUCUAGAUGCUAUACUCCUAUUGAUGCAGCCCAGAAUUGCAUUGGCUUUUUUAGCUGCCGCGUCACACUGUUGGCUCAUGUCAAGUUUGUGGUCAACCAAGACUCCUAGAUCCUUUUCACAUGUACUGCUCUCAAUCCAGGUGUCACCCAUCUUGUAUUUGUGCCUCUCAUUUUUUUUGCCCAAGUGCAAUACUUUACAUUUCUCCCUGUUAAAAUUCAUCUUGUUUGUUUUUGCCCAGUUCUCUAAUCUGUCAAGGUCGUUUG
Podarcis lilfordi (Lilford's wall lizard) is the source of this 1379-nucleotide non-coding RNA. NCBI's taxonomy places the organism in Eukaryota, Metazoa, Chordata, Lepidosauria, Squamata, Lacertidae. The record is from the annotation of a GenBank genome assembly.